GAUGGGGAACUGAGGGUGCAGGAACUGUGGGAGCAAUUAAUGCAGAGACAAGCAGAGCUGGAUGCUGUGCUUUCGUCUCUCCUCUGUGCUCGUCAGGUCUGCCAGCUGCGUGCUGACACUGCACAGUCUACUGAAUGGAUUCGUUUCCUCUAGUCUUUGGUUUCUGGCACAUUCUGGUAUAAGGAUUUUGGUGUGCUGCAGCCCAAGGGUGUCAGAAACCCUCUGAAAGUAAUAGCCAUGACUCAGCAGAAAAUCCUUCCUCGACUUGAACGACUUAUUCAGCUGUUGGAGGAAACCAAAGCACUUGGCCAGUCGACCAGCACGCAGCGGCAGAAGAGCUCUGGGAAGCAGGCGUUCGGCCAAGACAGCACUUCCAGAGUGUGGACCGAAUCUGUGUCUGUUGUAAAAGGUGUCUCAACUCAUUCCUUUAAAGAUCAAAUGAAGGCUCCAUUUGCGAGUGAACAGAAUGCCACGGUGCCCUCUCUUCCUCUGUCAAACCCAUCUUACACAAAGAAAAGCCAGGAAAAAACGCAGCUGAUCCACAGCCAGGAUGUCCAAUCUCUCCAGGAACCUGGUCUGUCCGCACACAUCAGUAUCCCACAGCUAGCAGAGGAGGACUGGUCCAGACUAGUAGCGCUAUCUCCUCUCUUCCAGCUGAUGAAGGAAGUGGAGCAGCAGCUCAGGGAUAGUGCCAGAGACAGAGGCCUUCUCAAGAUCCAGCCCUCGGGUCAGGCUCUAAUUAUCACCACUGAAACGUGCAAUCUGGACUCGUCAGAUCUGCAAAGUCAUUAGUGUAGCAACAGAUGACUUAAAGCCAUGAGAACCAUCACGUACAUAGUGAUCAAAGUGAGACACAUGACACAAAUGGUGUGUUGGUACAAGCAUUCAAGUGCAGGCCGGUCAUUCGUGGAUUUCAUGGAUGCCCAGUGGGAGUGUGAGGGAGAGCUGAUUCAAGUGAGCUCUGAAACACUCGAUCCACGACAGCUUCUGCUCUACCAGCAUGGACAGUUUCUCCUCCAGCAUCUUUGCUUACAUAAAAUGAUACCAGCAGUAACCCUUCAACUGGCUUCUACUCUUCCAUUCAACGACUACCCUAACAAUGCUUUCCGCAACUCUUUCUAUUAUCAGGAGGGACAGAAGACCCUGUUUGUUCGCUGUCAGAGGUUGCAGUCAGUGGGUGGCCUCUCUCUGCUGCUUAUGCACUGUGCUGCACACAUUUCCACCAGUCAGAUGAGGCCAGGCUCCACUCCCACCUUCCAAAGGGCCUUUUUCAAGGUUUUACAGUUGGGCCUAAGUGAGCUGUUCCAUGCCAGACUGGGACAAACUGAUGAUGAGAGGACAAAAGAUUUGGCGUCUGACGGAGCUCUCAACGGUCUUCUGCUGGAAAGAGUGCAGAAACCAAGUCCUGGGGUUUUCUCCGAGGAUGAUGUUUUGGGAUGUCUGCGCAAAUACAGAGAGGCUUCAGUGUUCCGCCAGGUCGAGAGUCUCCUAAAAGUGUCUCCUAAGAGCCUGGAGAUCAAGCACCUCAACACUGACCCGUCACUCAGCGAUGGCCCAGACAGCCAAGAUGCCGCUCCUCCAUGAACUGACAAUUUAACUUUGAACAGUGCUGCCUUUCUGACAGUGAUAAAUCCAGCUUUCAAAGGCAUGUUAUGUGCUGUGAGGCAGCGGAUGGCCUUAUCGUCUUGGAUGGUAACAGUUCCUGGACUGGGUUAGAGCAUCUAGUUUUGCUUCCGGUGAUGACCCAGCACAGCUAGAUAUCUACUUUCUUGUACAAAAAAAAAAAAGGGCAUUAAGAAAACACAUUAUAAGGGUCAUAAAACUGCAUAGGUCCAACAAGCAGGCCUCUGUUUAAUGCAGUUUUAAUGUAAUUUUGGAGGAUAAGGGCAUGUUACAGAAUUUGACCAUGUUGGUAUCUACCUAAUCUGACUAGCUUCCACCAAAUGACAAAUUUGCACCAGAAUAGUUAUGCCGGUGAACGUCUUAACCUCAGUCAAUAAGUAAAAAACUGACAGAGCUUUCUAACGCUGCAUUAAUGGCGCAUAUUCUCUAAGAUUAUGAGAGACGAAUCUACUUCAACAUAUGCUGAUAACGGUAUAUAACGGUCUUAAAUUAUUCCCUGAAUAUUUCUCUUGUGGCCCGUAUAUAUUGAAAAACAUGAGAAGAAACGUACUAUUUUGCGUUAAACAUGCUGUUCUUGAAAAUCGGUGCAUGAAACAGCUGCUCUUAAUUUUCAAUGAUGACAGCAGUGUUAAUCAUUUUAAUUAUAGGCCUGUUAAGUCCUCUUAAUAUUGCCAAUAUUUGAUGCUUUUGACAAUAUCUCUGGCAAUAGUUGACACAUGAUACGCCGCAACUCAGCACAGGGAGGUUAUCGUGAAUUAAAUCUUAAAAAUGUCUAAAUAUUUAAUGCAUUAUUACCAUUAAAAUGAACUUAAUUUAGUAUUUAAAUAGUUAAGUAUUUAAAUAAUUAACCCUUCUGCUGUUGGUGUCUGGGCUUAUUUGUUUACUUAUUUUUUAAAUGACAUGAGACUUUAAACUUUGACCUCCUGCUCUGGCUAUAUUUCAUAGUCAUUUUGUAAUAAAUCCAAAAGCAAGUCGUGAGAAAAAAAAAAA
Sinocyclocheilus anshuiensis is the source of this 2613-nucleotide long non-coding RNA. The record is from Ensembl. Lineage: Eukaryota; Metazoa; Chordata; Actinopteri; Cypriniformes; Cyprinidae.